CCUACGGGGUGCUGCAGUGAGGAAUAUUGGUCAAUGGACGAGAGUCUGAACCAGCCAAGUAGCGUGAAGGAUGACUGCCCUAUGGGUUGUAAACUUCUUUUAUAUGGGAAUAAAAUGUUCCACGUGUGGGAUUUUGUAUGUACCAUAUGAAUAAGGAUCGGCUAACUCCGUGCCAGCAGCCGCGGUAAUACGGAGGAUCCGAGCGUUAUCCGGAUUUAUUGGGUUUAAAGGGAGCGUAGGUGGAUUGGUAAGUCAGUUGUGAAAGUUUGCGGCUCAACCGUAAAAUUGCAGUUGAAACUGACAGUCUUGAGUACAGUAGAGGUGGGCGGAAUUCGUGGUGUAGCGGUGAAAUGCUUAGAUAUCACGAAGAACUCCGAUUGCGAAGGCAGUUCACUGGACUGCAACUGACACUGAGGCUCGAAAGUGUGGGUAUCAAACAGGAUUAGAUACCCGGGUAGUC
This 460-nucleotide ribosomal RNA is filed under the name uncultured bacterium. Its description in RNAcentral is "partial 16S ribosomal RNA". It matches the Rfam family "Bacterial small subunit ribosomal RNA", at positions 338 to 795 of the family's 1533-position model. The record is from RNAcentral.